UCUAAAAUGGCAGAUUAGUGUAUUGAACUUAAGCCUCAAAAAUAAAUUUUUUUAAAUUUUUUUAGAA
Molecule: transfer RNA, 67 nt
Filed under: Curculionoidea sp. 23 KM-2017
Lineage: Eukaryota; Metazoa; Arthropoda; Insecta; Coleoptera
Description: tRNA-Leu
Source: RNAcentral